AAUCAACGCUGGCGGCGUGCCUCAGACAUGCAAGUCGAACGCGAAAGCUCCCUUCGGGGAGCAAGUAGAGUGGCGCACGGGUGAGUAACACGUAGGUAAUCUACCUUUGGAUGGGGAAUAACAACCGGAAACGGUUGCUAAUACCGCAUAAUGCAGCGGCACCUAAUGGUGACAGUUGUUAAAGCGGGGGAUCGCAAGACCUCGCGUCUGAAGAGGAGCCUGCGGCAGAUUAGCUAGUUGGUAGGGUAACGGCUUACCAAGGCGAUGAUCUGUAGCCGGCCUGAGAGGGCGGUCGGCCACACUGACACUGACAUACGGGUCAGACUCCUACGGGAGGCAGCAGUCGGGAAUUUUGGGCAAUGGGCGAAAGCCUGACCCAGCAACGCCGCGUGAAGGAUGAAAUCCCUCGGGAUGUAAACUUCGCAAGAACGGGAAGAAUAAGCCGGUGUCAACACCACCGGCGAUGACGGUACCGUUUGUAAGCUCCGGCUAACUCCGUGCCAGCACG
Molecule: ribosomal RNA, 508 nt
Filed under: uncultured bacterium
Lineage: Bacteria
Description: bacterial SSU rRNA
Rfam family: Bacterial small subunit ribosomal RNA
Source: RNAcentral